This 551-nucleotide long non-coding RNA is filed under the name Homo sapiens (human). RNAcentral's name for it is "HSALNT0321313". The record is from RNAcentral. Lineage: Eukaryota; Metazoa; Chordata; Mammalia; Primates; Hominidae.
AGGAGCUUAAAUAACUCACUUAACAUAAAACAUGGAGUCAACUAAGGCUUCCAUUUAACUAGGCUAUCAAACACAAAGCCCUCAUUCUUACAAUACUCUUCUAAUGAUAGUUCCAUCUUUAUGAACAUUCCAGAGAUGGGGUUUCACCAUGUUGCCUAUGGUGGGUGACUUGACUGCACAUCUUUUUUUCUGGGAUCUCUACAUACAGUGUGAAAAAAAUAAGAGAAGAAAUGGAAGCCUAGAGGCAAGAUGACAGAAGAAACUGUAGUGUUAAUCCAGAUAAGACAUUGAAGAGCUAAACCAGGAUUUUGGUAAGACAGAUGGAGAGAUGUGAAUGGAUCUGAAUGCUACCAAGAAGGUCAAAUUCAACGGUGCUUACAGGCAUACCUUGGAAACAUUGCAGAUUUAGUUCUAGAACACCACAGUAAAGCAAAUAUUGCAAGAAAAUGAAUCACAUGAAUUUUGGGUUUCCCAGCGCACAUAAAAGUUAUGUUUACACUAUACUAUAGUCUAAGUGUGUAAUAGCAUUAUGUAUUUUAAAAGUACAUGCC